UAGCGAAAUUCCUUGUCGGGUAAGUUCCGACCUGCACGAAUGGCGUAACGACUUCCCCGCUGUCUCGACCACGAACUCGGUGAAAUUGCAGUACGAGUAAAGAUGCUCGUUUCGCGCAGCAGGACGGAAAGACCCCGUGACCUUUACUAUAGUUUGGUAUUGGUGUUUGGUUUGGCUUGUGUAGGAUAGGUGGGAGACUGUGAAGCAUGGACGCUAGUUUGUGUGGAGUCGUUGUUGAAAUACCACUCUGGUCAAUCUGGAUGUCUAACUUCGGGCCAUGAUCUGGUUCAGGGACAGUGCCUGAUGGGUAGUUUAACUGGGGCGGUUGCCUCCUAAAGUGUAACGGAGGCGCCCAAAGGUUCCCUCAGCCUGGUUGGCAAUCAGGUGUUGAGUGUAAGUGCACAAGGGAGCUUGACUGUGAGACUGGCAGGUCGAGCAGGGACGAAAGUCGGGACUAGUGAUCCGGCGGUACGUUGUGGAACGGCCGUCGCUCAACGGAUAAAAGGUACCUCGGGGAUAACAGGCUGAUCUUGCCCAAGAGUCCAUAUCGACGGCAUGGUUUGGCACCUCGAUGUCGGCUCGUCGCAUCCUGGGGCUGGAGUCGGUCCCAAGGGUUGGGCUGUUCGCCCAUUAAAGCGGUACGCGAGCUGGGUUCAGAACGUCGUGAGACAGUUCGGUCCCUAUCCGCUGCGCGCGUUGGAAAUUUGAGAAAGGCUGUCCUUAGUACGAGAGGACCGGGACGGACGAACCUCUGGUAUGUCAGUUGUACCGCCAGGUGCAUGGCUGAUUGGCUACGUUCGGGAGGGAUAACCGCUGAAAGCAUCUAAGCGGGAAGCCUGUUUCGAGAUGAGAUUUCCUGGCACUUUGGUGUGUGAGGCUCCUUAUAGAUGAUGAGGUUGAUAGGCCGGGUAUGGAAGCGGGGACUGAAGACUCGUGGAGUUGACUGGUACUAAUAGGCCGAAGGCUUACUUU
This 972-nucleotide ribosomal RNA is filed under the name human oral metagenome. RNAcentral's name for it is "bacterial LSU rRNA". It matches the Rfam family "Bacterial large subunit ribosomal RNA", at positions 1957 to 2925 of the family's 2925-position model. The record is from RNAcentral.